RNAcentral lists this ribosomal RNA (114 nucleotides) under Klebsiella pneumoniae. The record is from RNAcentral. Lineage: Bacteria; Pseudomonadati; Pseudomonadota; Gammaproteobacteria; Enterobacterales; Enterobacteriaceae.
CACGGCGGCACUAGCGCGGUGGUCCCACCUGACCCCAUGCCGAACUCAGAAGUGAAACGCCGUAGCGCCGAUGGUAGUGUGGGGUCUCCCCAUGUGAGUAGGGAACUGCCAGGG